GGCGGUAUGCUUAACACAUGCAAGUCGAACGGUAGCAUGAUNAGUAGCAAUACUAAUUGAUGACGAGUGGCGGACGGGUGAGUAACACGUAGGAAUCUACCCUAUAGCGGGGGACAACCGGCGGAAACGCCGGCUAAUACCGCAUAAUCUCGCAAGAGUAAAGCUGGGGCAACCUGGCACUAUAGGAGGAGCCUGCGUCUGAUUAGCUAGUUGGCGGGGUAAAAGCCCACCAAGGCGACGAUCAGUAGCUGGUCUGAGAGGAUGAUCAGCCACACUGGGACUGAGACACGGCCCAGACUCCUACGGGAGGCAGCAGUGGGGAAUAUUGGACAAUGGGGGCAACCCUGAUCCAGCAAUACCGCGUGUGUGAAGAAGGCCUUCGGGUUGUAAAGCACUUUAGGCGGGGAAGAAGAUUACCAUUUUAAGAGAUAGGUAAUUUGACGGUACCCGCAGAAUAAGCACCGGCUAACUCUGUGCCAGCAGCCGCGGUAAUACAGAGGGUGCAAGCGUUAAUCGGAAUUACUGGGCGUAAAGGGCGCGUAGGUGGUUGCGUAAGU
Molecule: ribosomal RNA, 557 nt
Filed under: uncultured Gammaproteobacteria bacterium
Lineage: Bacteria; Pseudomonadati; Pseudomonadota; Gammaproteobacteria
Description: bacterial SSU rRNA
Rfam family: Bacterial small subunit ribosomal RNA
Source: RNAcentral